AUGUGUGGCAGUAGCAAAAAAAGGAAAAUGAUUGAUCUCAUUGAGUUGCCUCCCGAUCUCAAUGAGAUUCCUCAUGAUAUGGAUCAGCAGCAACCCGGCGUACCACUAGGAGCUAGUGCUGAUUAUGGGAGAGAAAAUGAGCACUCUGUUUACUACACACAGACAAGUCGUGGGCCUAACCCUAUGGGCCAUGACAAUGUGGCAGGGCAGUCAUCAACCUGUGGUGCCCCUGUAGUGGUGUCUUUGCAGUCAGAGAGCCAUACUCUUGAUGACACGGGCAGUGCGGCAAAUGUUCCUGGUCCAACUAGGACUAAGCUAGGAGCAGGUGCUGUUGACGGUGAUGUGCAAGGAGAAGAAGGAGAGGAUGAGGCUGGUUCUCAACCCAUGGAACCCUAUGUUGGCAUGAGGUUUGACAACCUUCAAAUUGCUAAGGAUCACUACAACAGCUACGCCCUAUGGAUGGGUUUCUCUGUCAAGAUGAACACCUCUAGGCGGACAACUCUCACCAAUGUAUUGGUAAAACAACAAUUUUGUUGCAACAAGUACAAGAAGACCAAAGCUAAUGAUGGAGGAGUUGAGGCUCCUCCUAUCCUGGACCCCAUACCAGAUCCAAAACCUGUUGAUAGUGAUGAGGAAAUGGAAGAUGAACCUCCAAUCUUUGCUGAAGAGGAGGCUGGUCCUAGUAAGAAAAAUAAGAAUUGGAAACACGAGACAAUAAAGUAG
This 723-nucleotide ribosomal RNA is filed under the name Triticum aestivum (bread wheat). RNAcentral's name for it is "partial small subunit ribosomal RNA". The record is from RNAcentral. Lineage: Eukaryota; Viridiplantae; Streptophyta; Magnoliopsida; Poales; Poaceae.